CUGAACACGCUCGGCUUCCUUCCCGGCUGCCGAGAUGCCUCCUUCUACGCGCGGCUUUUUCCCCACCAACAACGCCCUUUCUCCCCCACACGCUGCGGCAACCGAGAUGAACGCGCUGCCGUCACCGAGAUCCCGCGUCGAUUCGAUUCACCUGUGGUGCUCGCGACGAAGGGAAUUGCGAACUCCUUCUCCUUCUCGUUGACGAAGACAGCGGAGAUCGUGGAGGCGCUGCACAACUACGGUAUCUUCCUCGGCCUCUUCCUUGCUAGCGUUGUCAGGCGACGCUUCCCAGGGAGCCACCAGCCCACGACUCCAUCCACCGGCACCACAUCGUCUUUGGCAGCGGCUCCUCCAUCGCACAUGUCGUUGUCCCUAGAGGCGAAGCAAUGUGGACUCGAGUCUGUCUGUCGCCUCCGCCUCCUCCAUCGCAUGCCGACUCCGUCGCGCCAAUCCAUCCGCGCACGUCCACCUCCACUACCUCUGUCCGCUCGGGAGUUGCCGUCCUCCGCGCUAGGCCUCGCCUCCGUCUGGUUUGACUUCUUCGACAUCUAG
Molecule: unclassified non-coding RNA, 552 nt
Filed under: Zea mays
Lineage: Eukaryota; Viridiplantae; Streptophyta; Magnoliopsida; Poales; Poaceae
Description: misc RNA Zm00001eb301830
Source: RNAcentral